This 418-nucleotide ribosomal RNA is filed under the name uncultured bacterium. RNAcentral's name for it is "bacterial SSU rRNA". It matches the Rfam family "Bacterial small subunit ribosomal RNA", at positions 362 to 777 of the family's 1533-position model. The record is from RNAcentral.
UAUUGGACAAUGGGUGCAAGCCUGAUCCAGCCAUCCCGCGUGAAGGAUUAAGGUCCUAUGGAUUGUAAACUUCUUUUAUACAGGGAUAAACCUCUCCUCGUGAGGAGAGCUGAAGGUACUGUAUGAAUAAGCACCGGCUAACUCCGUGCCAGCAGCCGCGGUAAUACGGAGGGUGCAAGCGUUAUCCGGAUUUAUUGGGUUUAAAGGGUCCGUAGGCGGACCAAUAAGUCAGUGGUGAAAUCCUACAGCUUAACUGUAGAACUGCCGUUGAUACUGUUGGUCUUGAGUGUAGUUGAGGUAGCUGGAAUGAGUAGUGUAGCGGUGAAAUGCAUAGAUAUUACUCGGAACGCCAAUUGCGAAGGCAGGUUACCAAGUUACAACUGACGCUGAUGGACGAAAGCGUGGGGAGCGAACAGGA